GGAGGCAUAGGUCAGUGGCAGUGCAUCUGCUCUGAGUGCAGAAGACCCAAAGUUCAAUACCUGGUGUCUUCA
Podarcis lilfordi (Lilford's wall lizard) is the source of this 72-nucleotide non-coding RNA. The record is from the annotation of a GenBank genome assembly. NCBI's taxonomy places the organism in Eukaryota, Metazoa, Chordata, Lepidosauria, Squamata, Lacertidae.